GAGUUUGAUCUUGGCUCAGAUUGAACGCUGGCGGCAUGCCUUACACAUGCAAGUCGAACGGCAGCAUGAUCUAGCUUGCUAGAUUGAUGGCGAGUGGCGAACGGGUGAGUAAUACAUCGGAACGUGCCCUGUAGUGGGGGAUAACUAGUCGAAAGAUUAGCUAAUACCGCAUACGACCUGAGGGUGAAAGUGGGGGACCGCAAGGCCUCAUGCUAUAGGAGCGGCCGAUGUCUGAUUAGCUAGUUGGUGGGGUCAAGGCCCACCAAGGCGACGAUCAGUAGCUGGUCUGAGAGGACGAUCAGCCACACUGGGACUGAGACACGGCCCAGACUCCUACGGGAGGCAGGCAGUGGGGAAUUUUGGACAAUGGGCGAAAGCCUGAUCCAGCAAUGCCGCGUGUGUGAAGAAGG
RNAcentral lists this ribosomal RNA (410 nucleotides) under uncultured microorganism. RNAcentral's name for it is "bacterial SSU rRNA". It matches the Rfam family "Bacterial small subunit ribosomal RNA", at positions 9 to 414 of the family's 1533-position model. The record is from RNAcentral.